This is a long non-coding RNA of Brassica napus (rape), 1828 nucleotides long. RefSeq lists it as uncharacterized. The record is from RefSeq and is a predicted model, not a curated record. NCBI's taxonomy places the organism in Eukaryota, Viridiplantae, Streptophyta, Magnoliopsida, Brassicales, Brassicaceae. The transcript is spliced from 3 exons.
UUUUAACUCUUUUGACCCGGUAAGAUGUUUACGUUCCGUCUCCCUAUGUUUUCUCCUUAUAUAAAUUUCUUUUCUGUAUCAUCGCUUCACGUACAUUCUACAGAGUACAGACGUUCAUACAACCACAUCAGGCGAUGACGAUGAAAUCGAAAAAAUCCACCACAACAAUGGACUCGGUCUCAAGAGCGCAUCAGCUUCUGAAGAAAGGUUUUAAUUGGUGGCAGUAAUGAAACUGAAAUGUGAAACGUUGCCGCCGAAAAGAUACAAGAUCUGACGUAGGAGCUUAACCAGCAAGAUAUUAGCGAACUAGACGCCCUUGGGCUUGAACAAAACAAAACAAAUAAAUCUUUUCUCUUUCAGGGCGUCUAACCCAUCUCCUGCAGCUGCAUAGGUAGUCUCGCAUGUGCACCUUCCUAUGUCUACGAAGACAACGCUGGGAGGAAGGAAUCUAAGACAGACGCUUUGAUGCAGAUCCAUACUAUGUAUGUUCCCAAAGCUGCACUUUGUCCUAUUACGGCCAACAUCAUACCACAGAGGAGAAACUGGUGUUGCUUUACAUUCUCUCUGCUUAUAUUCUUGAAUAAUUAAUAGGAGAAACUGGAUAUUUUAUGUGUUAUUGUUCUAUGUUAUCAGAAAAUAUAGAAGUGUAGUGGUAAGAAGAACAUGAUCUGCUUAUGUGUUGUUCUUCUUAUUCAAUGUAGUUUAACGAAUUUUGGAAUGUUUGAUCUUGUCAUCCAGUUUCUUAUAUGCAACUUGAAAGGAGCAUUCACUAAAUAGCUGCCACCUCGGAUCAGGUCAAGUUUUUGCUUUUAAUCUGUCUUUUAACCACUCUUCUCCUGGUGAAAAUUGUAUAUGAAUGUAGUUUUACAACAACACUCAAUACCCUUGUCAAUUUGUUGUCCUUAAAGCUUGAUCAACUAUCUCAAAUGAUUUAAGAAAACUUCGUCAAACUCUAAUGCGGAACUGCAUCAGUGCUGAUCAAAAGUUUGCUGAAGAGGCAAUGAAGCAGAAUAAUUGUUUCCUAUUUCUGAGAUUUAUUGCCUUGAAUCUCUACCUUAAUAGCUCUUCGUAAGUUUGUUAUCUAAUUAACUUCUAAAUUAGACUCCAUAUGACUUCAUUUAGUUAUAUAAGAUUUUAAUUGAUUGAUUAUAUCAAUUUUUGAAAUUUUCUUUUGAUUAUUAGAUUCUUUCUAUGUUCUUAUUGAAAUUUGAUCCAUCACAAAAAUCUAAAUAAUAGUAAAAAGGUACAUUUUGCAUACACCACAUAGAGUCUAAUAACAAAGUUAUGUAUUAUUCAUUUUGUCUACGUUUAAUUCUCUCUAACAAAAGAAUAGUUUUCGCUUAAUUUAUGUCUUAGGUGAGGUGAUCUAUGGAGAAGUGAUAAAUCCAAUGGAAGCUCAUAGUUCUUGGAACUUUGGAAGAACAAAAAGGAAUCUCAUUCCUUGGAGAUUCCUUGGAAACGUACUGGUUUGAUGAAAAACAGCUGGUGUUUAAUCAAGUGAGUUCUGUUGUGGUGAAGGCAAUCAAAUCCUUGACACUGGUUUUGGUCAUCUCUACAGUGAUAUAAUCUCAAUCGAUACUAUCAACCACCAUUUCAAAUGUUCAGACGCGACCAUUGCCACUGCUCCAACGACCAUGUGAAGUUAGUUCAAAUAACAGCCAUUGUUAACCCAAUACUUACGGAGUUGUUCAUGUUUGGCAGCUACCAACAGCUUAUUAGUAUAUAUUUACUUGCACUAUGACUUUUUCUAAAAAACAAUUGAUAUGGUUGUUGUCGUUAUUUUCGUUAUCGUCAUUAUAUGAAGAUAUGGGUUUUACCUUUUACUUAA